This 418-nucleotide long non-coding RNA is filed under the name Homo sapiens (human). RNAcentral's name for it is "HSALNT0377084". Lineage: Eukaryota; Metazoa; Chordata; Mammalia; Primates; Hominidae. The record is from RNAcentral.
UUGAUGGGCAGUUUUUGCUCUGGGGUUUCUCAUCGGCCUGGCCUUGCUAUUUCAGACCUUGAUUGUAGUCUGAGGCUUUUCCUACUCAAACCUCCUUCACUCCUUUGUGAUCUGAAGAGGGCCUAAACUGACAGAGGAUGUAAGAAUUCAGAAGAAUUUUGUGGUACUCAAUUGCAGGAAGUGGAGCUGGAAUUCCUGGGAAGGGAAACUUUUGUCCAAACAGCAAGUGUGGAGAAAGUUUUUUUGCUCAGAUAUGGAAGAGACUGCAGCCUGCAACAAACAAUGAGGAAGAGGAUUUAUGAAUGUAGCUUCCUAUGUCAACUUUAAUGAAUUUUCUUGUCUUCAAGUUUGCCUUCCAUGCCCAAUUUUGGAGAUACUGGUGUUUCUUAUUUUUUCUAAACUUUUUUUGCCAUUAUUU